AGGGUUCGAUUCUGGCUCAGGAUGAACGCUAGCGACAGGCUUAACACAUGCAAGUCGAGGGGCAGCAUAAAAGUAGCAAUACUUGGUGGCGACCGGCGCACGGGUGAGUAACGCGUAUGCAACCUACCUAUCAGAGGGGAAUAACCCGGCGAAAGUCGGACUAAUACCGCAUAAAACAGGGACACCGCAUGGUGAUAUUUGUUAAAGAAAUUCGCUGAUAGAUGGGCAUGCGUUCCAUUAGGUAGUUGGUGAGGUAACGGCUCACCAAGCCGACGAUGGAUAGGGGAACUGAGAGGUUGGUCCCCCACACUGGUGCUGAGACACGGACCAGACUCCUACGGGAGGCAGCAGUGAGGAAUAUUGGUCAAUGGGCGAGAGCCUGAACCAGCCAAGUCGCGUGAAGGAAGAAGGAUCUAUGGUUCGUAAACUUCUUUUGCAGGGGAAUAAAGUGCAGGACGUGUCCUGUUUUGUAUGUACCCUGAGAAUAAGGAUCGGCUAACUCCGUGCCAGCCGCGGC
RNAcentral lists this ribosomal RNA (517 nucleotides) under uncultured bacterium. RNAcentral describes it as "bacterial SSU rRNA". It matches the Rfam family "Bacterial small subunit ribosomal RNA", at positions 8 to 518 of the family's 1533-position model. The record is from RNAcentral.